GCGGGACUGCCCGGCACGAGCUGCAUGAAAAUCCCUGAGGCUAUAAGCAAAUCCUUGGGUGCUGUCCCUGCCCGGCUUGCGGGUUCGUCCCGAAGGCCGGUGCACAUGGCGCCCACCUGACGUCACGCGUCAGAGGAUUUCCCGGCAAACGACCCAUGGUGGUUCCGCC
This 169-nucleotide non-coding RNA is filed under the name Croceibacterium mercuriale. RNAcentral describes it as "Porphyrobacter mercurialis 6S / SsrS RNA". It matches the Rfam family "6S / SsrS RNA". From Rfam's summary of the family: E. coli 6S RNA was the first non coding RNA to be sequenced, but its function was unknown until recently. It consists of 184 nucleotides that fold into an extended hairpin structure with a large single-stranded internal bulge. The 6S RNA specifically associates with RNA polymerase holoenzyme containing the sigma70 specificity factor. The record is from Rfam by way of RNAcentral. Lineage: Bacteria; Pseudomonadati; Pseudomonadota; Alphaproteobacteria; Sphingomonadales; Erythrobacteraceae.